GCCAGGCAUGGUGGCGCAUGCCUGUAAUCCCAGCUACCCGGGAGGCUGAGGCAGGAGAAUCGCUUGAACCUGGGAGGCAGAGGUUGCAGUGAGCCAAGACUGCACCACUGCACUCUAGCCUGGGUGAUGGAGCGAGCCUCUGUCUCAA
RNAcentral lists this non-coding RNA (148 nucleotides) under Pan troglodytes (chimpanzee). Lineage: Eukaryota; Metazoa; Chordata; Mammalia; Primates; Hominidae. The record is from Rfam by way of RNAcentral.